RNAcentral lists this ribosomal RNA (321 nucleotides) under Escherichia coli. RNAcentral describes it as "bacterial SSU rRNA". It matches the Rfam family "Bacterial small subunit ribosomal RNA", at positions 636 to 956 of the family's 1533-position model. Lineage: Bacteria; Pseudomonadati; Pseudomonadota; Gammaproteobacteria; Enterobacterales; Enterobacteriaceae. The record is from RNAcentral.
GCAAGCUUGAGUCUCGUAGAGGGGGGUAGAAUUCCAGGUGUAGCGGUGAAAUGCGUAGAGAUCUGGAGGAAUACCGGUGGCGAAGGCGGCCCCCUGGACGAAGACUGACGCUCAGGUGCGAAAGCGUGGGGAGCAAACAGGAUUAGAUACCCUGGUAGUCCACGCCGUAAACGAUGUCGACUUGGAGGUUGUGCCCUUGAGGCGUGGCUUCCGGAGCUAACGCGUUAAGUCGACCGCCUGGGGAGUACGGCCGCAAGGUUAAAACUCAAAUGAAUUGACGGGGGCCCGCACAAGCGGUGGAGCAUGUGGUUUAAUUCGAUG